RNAcentral lists this ribosomal RNA (1213 nucleotides) under uncultured eukaryote. RNAcentral describes it as "SSU rRNA". It matches the Rfam family "Eukaryotic small subunit ribosomal RNA", at positions 19 to 1262 of the family's 1831-position model. The record is from RNAcentral.
GGAAAUUCGGCAUCGUCUCAAGAUUAGCCAUGCAUGUGUUAGUAUAAACGCUUUUAUACUGUAAGACUGCGAACGGCUCAUUAUAUCAGUUAUAGUUUAUUUGAUACUCUCUCACUAUUGGAUAACCGUAGUAAUUCUAGAGCUAAUACAUGCUUACAAGCCCGACUCACGAAGGGCUGUAUUUAUUAGAUUUCAAUCAACAUUUUUUGCUGACUCAUGAUAACUUAGCGGAUCGCAGAGGCCUUGCGCCGGCGACAAAUCAUUCAAGUUUCUGCCCUAUCAGCUUUCGAUGGUAGUGUAUUGGACUACCAUGGCAUUAACGGGUAACGGAGGAUUAGGGUUCGAUUCCGGAGAGGGAGCCUGAGAAAUGGCUACCACAUCCAAGGAAGGCAGCAGGCGCGUAAAUUACCCAAUCCUAAUUCAGGGAGGUAGUGACAAUAAAUAUCGAUGCGGGGCCCUUUGGGUCUUGCAAUCGGAAUGAGAACAAUUUAAAUCCCUUAACGAGGAUCAAUUGGGGGGCAAGUCUGGUGCCAGCAGCCGCGGUAAUUCCAGCUCCAAUAGCGUAUAUUAAUGUUGUUGCAGUUAAAAAGCUCGUAGUUGGAUUUCUGCGCCGCGCAGCUCGGUCCGCCGCACUGCGGUGUGAAAGUGCUGGAGCGUCGCAUCCUUGUGGAGACUGUUUCGACCAUUAAUUUGGUCCGUUUCAGGAACCGCAUCGUUUACUGUGAAAAAAUUAGAGUGUUCAAAGCAGGCUUAUGCCGUGAAUACAUUAGCAUGGAAUAAUAAGAUAGGACUUUGGUUCUAUUUUGUGGGUUGGAGGCCAAGGUAAUGAUUAAUAGGGAUAGUUGGGGGUAUUCAUAUUUAAUCGUCAGAGGUGAAAUUCUUGGAUUUAUGAAAGAUGAACUAAUGCGAAAGCAUUUACCAAGGAUGUUUUCAUUUAAUCAAGAACGAAAGUUAGGGGAUCGAAGAGGAUUAGAUACCCUCGUAGUCUUAACCAUAACUAUGCCGACUCGGGAUCGGGAGGUGUACAUUUCAAAGACUCUCUCGGCACCGUUAUGAGAAAUCAAGUCUUUGGGUUCCGGGGGUAGUAUGGUUCGCAAGCUGAACUUAAGAAUUGACGAGGGCACCACCAGGAUUGAGCUUGCGCCUUAUUUGACUCACACGGGGAACUCACCAGGUCCGAACUUAGUAAGAAUUGACGAUUGUACAGGCUUCU